AACUUUGAGGUAGAAGGCAGUUCAACAGAUAACCUGGUCCUGUGCCAUAAAUGGUUUUAAAGGUAAUAACCAUCGCUUUGAAUUACACCCAGA
This is a non-coding RNA of Notechis scutatus (mainland tiger snake), 93 nucleotides long. The record is from RefSeq and is a predicted model, not a curated record. Lineage: Eukaryota; Metazoa; Chordata; Lepidosauria; Squamata; Elapidae.